This 402-nucleotide ribosomal RNA is filed under the name uncultured bacterium. RNAcentral's name for it is "bacterial SSU rRNA". It matches the Rfam family "Bacterial small subunit ribosomal RNA", at positions 356 to 773 of the family's 1533-position model. The record is from RNAcentral.
GGGGAAUAUUGGGCAAUGGGGGAAACCCUGACCCAGCAACGCCGCGUGAGGGAAGAAGGUUUUCGGAUUGUAAACCUCUGUUCUUGGUGAAGAGAAGAAGACGGUAGCCAAGGAGGAAGCCCCGGCUAACUACGUGCCAGCAGCCGCGGUAAUACGUAGGGGGCGAGCGUUGUCCGGAAUGAUUGGGCGUAAAGGGCGCGUAGGCGGCCAUGCAAGUCAGUAGUGGAAGUCCAUUUUUCAAGGGUGGAAGUGCUAUUGAAACUGCGGGGCUUGAGUAUGGGAGAGGUCAUCGGAAUUCCCGGUGUAGCGGUGAAAUGCGUAGAGAUCGGGAGGAACACCAGUGGCGAAGGCGGGUGACUGGACCAUAACUGACGCUGAGGCGCGAAAGUGUGGGGAGCAAAC